UGCUGUUCUAGUUCAGCUGGUAGAGCAUGAGUCUCUUAAUCUCAAGGUCGUGGGUUCGAGCCCCACAUUGGGUAA
RNAcentral lists this transfer RNA (75 nucleotides) under Podarcis lilfordi (Lilford's wall lizard). RNAcentral's name for it is "tRNA.Lys". The stretch from base 9 to 66 matches the Rfam family "tRNA", at positions 8 to 63 of the family's 71-position model. Rfam says of the family: Transfer RNA (tRNA) molecules are approximately 80 nucleotides in length. Their secondary structure includes four short double-helical elements and three loops (D, anti-codon, and T loops). Lineage: Eukaryota; Metazoa; Chordata; Lepidosauria; Squamata; Lacertidae. The record is from RNAcentral.